UGCAGUGGACACUUCACGGCUGGCACAGGAGAGAUCACAAGGCCUUGCUCAAUUUCAUCAAAAGUGUUAAAGCGACUCAGCAGAUUGUGAAGCACAAGUGGAAGCUGAUAAUUGGUGUUUCUUACAAAUCAACGGCUUGUCUCCACACAUCAAGGUGAGAAAAUCAAUGUAAAAGAGGAGAAAUAACCCACACAACUACAUACAACUAGGAAAUGAUAGUUGGAUCUGAACAAAAGGAUAUGCACUCUUA
Molecule: long non-coding RNA, 250 nt
Filed under: Homo sapiens (human)
Lineage: Eukaryota; Metazoa; Chordata; Mammalia; Primates; Hominidae
Description: HSALNT0325638
Source: RNAcentral